AAAAAUCAUAUCGAAAGUCUUAGACGAAACUCUUGUGCCUUUCCACAGGUGUCUUCUAGGCUUUAUUUUGGGGCCAUUACCUCGAGCACUGUUUCUUGUCUGGUUUCCUAAUGUCAGCAACUGAAGAAAAGACCUGUACACACAGGACACAGCAUGGUCUGACGCUCACAGUGUUUUCCUUUCUCUCUGCAGAGGGAUUCAGCACUUUGGGCAAGUGGUUGCACAGAGGAUCCCGUGGAAGAAUUCAUAUAUGAAUCAGAUGAGGAUGCCCCAGGACCGUCGUAGAUACCAACAAGCCCUCUCCCGGCACCUGCAGAAAAAGUGGGGAAAAUCCCCGAAGAGGCAGAAACGUGAGUGUGCAGGGGCGGCAUGACCAGGGGAAGGCAGACAAUGCCUGUGUGCCCAUGGCUGCCCUCACUCUCUUGUUGUCCCAUCAGAAAACCUAGUGAGCUGAAGGAUGAGGCUGCUGAAGAGCCUGAGCUCACUUGUUGUGGCCUGACCUGUUGUGGCCUUUGUACUUAUGCUGGAAAUCCCUAAAGAUUCGUCCGGAAGGGCCGCCAGCCAGUGGAUUUCCCUGGCCCCUCAGCCCUCUGGAGCGUACGAGUUUUGGAGAACCCUCUUCCUCUGUAUAUGCUUUUGACUUUCCUGGACUGAUGUAAAAAUACUCUUUUCUUUGACCUGUUUAUUUUUAAGACACCAUGUGAUUGUGUCAGCUUAUAUUUUAUUGCUGAAGUAAAUUUUCAAAUGUUUUAUUAGUUUUUUUUGGAUCUUUGUCCACUCAUUUUGGAGUUUUUGUAAUUUUGAUAGGUGUUCUUUUAUGCUUUGUAUUGUUUUCUUAAUGACUUUUACCUUAGUUUUUAACAAACCCAUAGUACAGUGUUAUACCCAAGCGAGUUAGAGAAAACGCCACACUUUGAGACGAAUUAAGAGUCCAUUAUUGGCCGGGCGCGGUGGCUCAAGCCUGUAAUCUCAGCACUUUGGGAGGCCGAGGCGGGUGGAUCACAAGGUCAGGAGGUCGAGACCAUCCUGGCUAACACGGUGAAACCCCGUCUCUACUAAAAAUAUAAAAAAUUAGCUGGGCGUGGUGGCAGGCGCCUGUAGUCCCAGCUGCUAGGGAGGCUGAGGCAGGAAAAUGGCAUGAACCUGGGAGGCGGAGCUUACAGUGAGCUGAGAUCGCGCCACUGCACUCCAGCCUGGGCGACAGAGCAAGACUCCGUCUCAAAAAAAAAAAAAAAAAAAGAGUCCUUUAUUUAAGCCAGCGGCCAAAGAGACGGCUAACGCUCAAAAUUCUCUCGGCCCCGAGGAAGGGGCUUGAUUAACUUUUAUACCUUGGUUUAGGAAGGGGAGGGGAACUCAAAUGCAAUAAUUCUACAGAAGUAAAAACAUGCAAGAAUCAAAAAAACAAAUGGUUACAGAGAGAGAAACAAUUUAAAAGACAAAUGGUUACAAAAGAAGCAACGGAACCAGGUGCGGGGCUCUAAAUCCUUCAUUAGAGUUCGAUAUGGAUGCUCUGCCAGACACGGACUCAAGGCUUUAUGCUGUUAUCUCUUUGAGCAAAACCCUGGGAACUUCAUACAUUGUUUGUUCCAGUACCUUAUCAGUUAAUUGGGCUCCUUUGAAAUGCUGAGGAUCUGCUUACACAGGUUAACGCCUUGAGGAAGGGGUUUGGGUAAGGAGCCCUUGAUGUUUUGUUAAUCAAGAGGCCAAAUGGAGUUUGUCCGGCUUUCCCAGCUAAGGGAGAGUCUUAUUCAUAUGGGAAACAAGGCUGGGUAAUUAAGGAGACAAAAGGGAAAAUUUAAAAAUAGCGAGUUACAGUAAAAACAAGGUUAGGCAUUACAACAGUAAGUUAUAUUAAGACAAUAUUUUGGCCGGGCGUGGUGGCUCACGCCUGUAAUACUUAGCACUUUGGGAGGCCGAGGCGGGCAGAUCAUGAGGUCAGGAGAUCAAGACCGUCCUGGCUAACACUGUGAAACACCAUCUCUGCUAAAAAUACAAAAAAUUAGCUGGGCAUGGUGGGGGGGGGGGCGUCUGUAGUCCCAGCUGCUCCGGAGGCUGAGGCAGGAGAAUGGUGUGAACCUGGGAGGCGGAGCUUGCAGUGAGCUGAGAUAGUGCCACUGCACUCCAGCCUGGGCAACAGAGCGAGACUCCACCUCAAAAAAAGAAAAAAAAAAAAAAAAAGAGAGACAUAGUAUUUUUAAUGUUUUUUAAUAGCUUAUAUUCUGUACAUCUUUUCACAUGUAGAAAUGUUAAUGGCUGGGCGCAGUGGCUCACGCUUGUAAUCCCAGCACUUUGGGAGGCUGAGGCAGGAGAAUCACUUGAGCCCAGGAGUUGGAGACCAGCCUGGGAAACAUGGUAAGACCACAUCCC
RNAcentral lists this long non-coding RNA (2367 nucleotides) under Pan troglodytes (chimpanzee). RNAcentral's name for it is "long non-coding RNA NONPTRT014366". The record is from RNAcentral. Lineage: Eukaryota; Metazoa; Chordata; Mammalia; Primates; Hominidae.